This 722-nucleotide ribosomal RNA is filed under the name Salmonella enterica subsp. enterica serovar Dublin. RNAcentral describes it as "partial 23S ribosomal RNA". It matches the Rfam family "Bacterial large subunit ribosomal RNA", at positions 550 to 1269 of the family's 2925-position model. The record is from RNAcentral. Lineage: Bacteria; Pseudomonadati; Pseudomonadota; Gammaproteobacteria; Enterobacterales; Enterobacteriaceae.
CUGAAACCGUGUACGUACAAGCAGUGGGAGCACAGGUUUACCUGUGUGACUGCGUACCUUUUGUAUAAUGGGUCAGCGACUUAUAUUCUGUAGCAAGGUUAACCGAAUAGGGGAGCCGGAGGGAAACCGAGUCUUAAUUGGGCGUUAAGUUGCAGGGUAUAGACCCGAAACCCGGUGAUCUAGCCAUGGGCAGGUUGAAGGUUGGGUAACACUAACUGGAGGACCGAACCGACUAAUGUUGAAAAAUUAGCGGAUGACCUGUGGCUGGGGGUGAAAGGCCAAUCAAACCGGGAGAUAGCUGGUUCUCCCCGAAAGCUAUUUAGGUAGCGCCUCGUGAAUUCAUCUCCGGGGGUAGAGCACUGUUUCGGCUAGGGGGCCAUCCCGGCUUACCAACCCGAUGCAAACUGCGAAUACCGGAGAAUGUUAUCACGGGAGACACACGGCGGGUGCUAACGUCCGUCGUGAAGAGGGAAACAACCCAGACCGCCAGCUAAGGUCCCAAAGUCAUGGUUAAGUGGGAAACGAUGUGGGAAGGCCCAGACAGCCAGGAUGUUGGCUUAGAAGCAGCCAUCAUUUAAAGAAAGCGUAAUAGCUCACUGGUCGAGUCGGCCUGCGCGGAAGAUGUAACGGGGCUAAACCAUGCACCGAAGCUGCGGCAGCGACGCUUAUGCGUUGUUGGGUAGGGGAGCGUUCUGUAAGCCUGUGAAGGUGUGUCGUGAGGC